RNAcentral lists this ribosomal RNA (497 nucleotides) under uncultured bacterium. RNAcentral describes it as "partial 16S ribosomal RNA". It matches the Rfam family "Bacterial small subunit ribosomal RNA", at positions 28 to 507 of the family's 1533-position model. The record is from RNAcentral.
GAUGAACGCUGGCGGCGUGCCUAAUACAUGCAAGUCGAGCGAACGGACGAGAAGCUUGCUUUUCUGAUGUUAGCGGCGGACGGGUGAGUAACACGUGGAUAACCUACCUAUAAGACUGGGAUAACUUCGGGAAACCGGAGCUAAUACCGGAUAAUAUUUUGAACCGCAUGGUUCAAAAGUGAAAGACGGUCUUGCUGUCACUUAUAGAUGGAUCCGCGCUGCAUUAGCUAGUUGGUAAGGUAACGGCUUACCAAGGCAACGAUGCAUAGCCCACCUGAGAGGGUGAUCGGCCACACUGGAACUGAGACACGGUCCAGACUCCUACGGGAGGCAGCAGUAGGGAAUCUUCCGCAAUGGGCGAAAGCCUGACGGAGCAACGCCGCGUGAGUGAUGAAGGUCUUCGGAUCGUAAAACUCUGUUAUUAGGGAAGAACAUAUGUGUAAGUAACUGUGCACAUCUUGACGGUACCUAAUCAGAAAGCCACGGCUAACUACGUG